RNAcentral lists this long non-coding RNA (3706 nucleotides) under Homo sapiens (human). RNAcentral describes it as "HSALNT0126006". Lineage: Eukaryota; Metazoa; Chordata; Mammalia; Primates; Hominidae. The record is from RNAcentral.
CCAGCCCUAGUUUGCUCACAUGGCAGUUGGACAGAUGUCCAAUAGUGCCGGCAGAAGUAUGCAAGGCUCUGAGGGCCCAGAACCUAAGUUUGCAUAAUAUUACUCCCUCAUUCUUUUGAGCAAAUCAAGUCACAAGGCCUGCAGAUUUGAAUAACUGAAAAACAGAUUAAUAGGCACUGCAAAGUUACCUUGCAAAGGGCAUGGGUACAAGGAGUGGUAGAGAACUAUGAGCAUUUUGUGAUCCACCAUGUAGUGUUGUCAGAAUUGCUGAAUAAUGAGGAAGAGGCCUGUAGGGAAAUGGUGAAAUCGAAGCAAAAUUGCAAAAAUCUGAACUGGUAAACUGUGUACAUGUUAUUUUUUUUAUUUUUAUUUUUUAUUAUACUUUAAGUUCUAGGGUACAUGUGCACAAUGUGUAGGUUUGUUACAUAUGUAUACAUGUGCCAUGUUGGUGUGCUGCACCCAUUAACUCGUCAUUGCGCAUAUGUUGUUAUUCACUGAAAAGGGAAGAGAAGUAUAUUUGAUUUUAAACAUGAGUUGGAAAUGUCAGUCUCAAACACAGAUCUGAAGUUCACAAAUGAGAUUAAGAAGCUCCAUCAAAAACUACAAGAACUGAUAAAAAUCAGUAAAACUGCAAGAUACAAAAUCAACAUAUAAAAAUUAGUAACAUCUCUAUAUGCCAAAAGUGAACAAUCUGAAAAUUUUUUUUAAUCCCAUUUACAAUAGUUACAAAUAAAAUUAAAUACCUAGGAAUUAACCCUUUAACCAAGAAGUAAAUGAUCUCUACAAUGAAAACUAUAAAACAAUGAAAAAAAUUGAAGAGGACACAAACUAUGGAAAGAUAUUCCAUGUUCAUGGAUUGGAAGACUCAAUAUCAUUAAAAUGUCCAUAUUAACAGAUUCAAUGCAAUCCCUAUCAAUGCCAUUCUUCACAGAAACAGGAAAAAUUCUAAAAAUUAUGUGGAACCACAAAAGACCCAGAAUAGCAAAAGUUAUCAUGAGCAUAAAGAAGAAAACUGGAGAAAUCACAUUACCUGACUUCACAUUCUACUACAGAACUAUAGAAACCAAAACAGCAUGGUACUGGAAUAAAAACAGACACAUAGAACAAUGGAAAGAAAUAGAGAAUCCAGUAAUAAAUCCACACAUCUCCAUACAUCUACUGGCCAGGCAAAAUGGCUCAUGCCUAUAAUCCCAGCAUUUUGGGAGGCUGAGGCGGGCGGAUCACUUGAGGCCAGGAGUUCGGGACCAGCCUGAUCAACAUGGUGGAACCCCAUCUCUACCAAAAAUGUAAACACUAGCCAGGCAUGGUGGCACAUGCCUGUAGUCCCAGCUACUCAGGAGGCUGAAGCACAAGAAUCACUUGAACCUGGGAGGUGGAGGUUGCAGUGAGCCAAGAUCAUGCCACUGCAUUCCAGCCUGGGUGACAGUGACACUCUGUUUAAAAAAAAGAAAGAAAAAAACAAAAAACCCCCACACAUCUAUAGUGAACUUAUUGUUGACAAAGGUGCCAGGAACAUACAUGGGAGAAAAGACAGUCUUUUCAAUAAAUGGUAGCGGGGAAAACUGGAUAUCCAUAUGCAGAAGAAUGAAACUUGACCCCUAUUUCUCACCAUAUACAAAAAUCAAAUCAAAAUGGAUUAAAGACUUAAAUCCAACACCUCAAAUUGUGGAACUACCAUAAGAAAACACUGAAGAAAAUAUCCAGGGCAUUGGUCUGGACAGAAACGUGAGUAAUACCCCACAAGCACAGGCAACCAAAGCAAAAAUGGACAAAUGGGAUUAUAGUACAUUAAAAAGCUUCUGCACAGCAAAGGAAAUAAUAAAGUGAAGAGAACCCAGGGAAUGGGAGAAAAUAUUUCCAAACUAUCCAUCUGACAAGGGAGUCAUAACCAGAAUAUAUAAGGAGUUCAAACAACUCUAUAAGAAAAAAAUCUAAUAAUCAGAUUUAAAAAUGGGCAAAAGAUCUGGUAGACAUUUCUCAAAAGAAGACAUUUAAAUGGCAAACAGGCAUAUAAACAGGUGUUCAAAAUCACUGAUCAUCAGUGAACUGCAAAUCAAAACUACAAUGAGAUAGCAUGUCACCCCAGUUAAAAUGGCUUUUAUCCAAAAGACGGGCAAUAACAAAUGCUGAUGAGAAUGUGGAGAAAAGGGAACCCUUGUGCAGCUUAGGUGGGAAUGUAAAUUAGUACAACCACUAUGGAGAACAGUUUGGAGGUUCUUAAAAAAACUAAAAAUAGAGCUAGCAUAUGAUCCAGCAAUCCCAUUGAUGGAUACAGAUGACAAAUAAGAAAAGUCAGUAUACUAAAGAGAUAUCUGCACUCUCAAAUUGCAGCAUUCUUCACAAUAGCCAAGUUAUGGAAUCAGCGUAAGUGUCCAUCAACAGAUGAAUGGAUAAAGAAAAUGUGGUAUACAAUAGAGUACUAUUCAGUUAUAAAAAAGAAUGAGAUCCUGUCAUUUGCAACAACAUGGAUGGAACUGGAGGUCAGUAUGUUAAGUGAAAUAAGGAAUGAAUAAUACCUAGUAUUUCACAGCACAAGGUGACUAUAGUCAAUAAUUGUACAUUUAAAAAUAAGUAUAACUGGAUUGUUUAUAACACAAAAGAUAAAUGUUUGAGGGGAUGAAUAGCCCAUUUUCCAUGUGAUUAUUACACAUUGCAUGCCUGUAUUAAAAUUAUCUCAUGUACCCCAUAAAUACAUACAUCUAUGUAUCCACAAAAAUUAAAAAUUUUAAAAUGAGAUUUAGGUUGGUGUUAGUGAUUUAAGAGUAGAGCUAAUAUUUGAAGCAACAAAUGUGUAAUGUGAGAGUCCUGAGGAUGAAAUCCCACAGAACAUCAUAUUUUUAAAAGUGGGGGUAGGGAGGAGAAAAUUUAUAAUCUAAAGGAGAAGUAGGCAGUAUAAAAAGCAGAAGUGGUUUAAAAGCAGAAGACAGUAAUACUAUCAAAUCUUCAACUUAUCAACCUUACAGUGAUUAAUAUCCCAUUGAUUUUGGCAAGUGAGUGGUUACCCUGGCUAGAGCAGCAGGUGAAGUAAAAGAAAAAGACAUGAUGGAAGGUACUGCUCAGUGGCUGGCUGAAGUGAAGGAUCACAGAAACUAGGGAGUCUGUAAUGGAAAUAAAAGCACUAGUAGAAUGACAUUGAAGGCACCAAGUAGUCAAAGGACUGAUAAGUUUAUGUAUCAGUUUACUGUUAAAGACCACUCCCUAUUACCCAAACUUUUAGUUCACGAACUUGGUGUCCCAGUAUUUGCACAGUACAUCUAGGCAAAACAGCAAACAAAACUUAGUUUUGUUUAUUAAGUAGUCCAAACAACUUAUUUGUGCCAAAACAAUUUAGCACCUGUUGGACACUAUGCAGCUUACACUGUAAUCAUAUUGACCAACACUACCUACAUUUUCUGUUACUCACUCAUCUUCUGUGAUAUUUGCAUUUUUAUCACAGCAACCACUAAAAGCCCAGCUUCACAAAGAUCUGUCAUUAAAAAGAAUGUGGCAAUAUAACUGUAAAACUGAAAAUCCUUGCACUAGUAAUGUGUGUGGUGUCCAGCAAACACAAAUGUGACUGUGAUUUCCUCAAAGUUAAAAUAUCCUGCAGCACCCCUGAGUUCUCUGAGGUGCCCAGGGAAUCUCAGUUUAUAAUUUUGGAACCAUAGCCCUAUUCCCUAUCCUUGCUUUUAUUUUCCUCAAUAGUACUUAUCACCCUACAUAUUUU